This is a non-coding RNA of Megalops atlanticus (tarpon), 73 nucleotides long. The record is from the annotation of a GenBank genome assembly. NCBI's taxonomy places the organism in Eukaryota, Metazoa, Chordata, Actinopteri, Elopiformes, Megalopidae.
GUUUCUAUAGUGUAGUGGUUAUCAUGUUCGCCUACCAUAUGAAAGAUCCUCGUUUUGAACCCGGGCAGAAACA